RNAcentral lists this ribosomal RNA (429 nucleotides) under Pseudomonadota bacterium. RNAcentral's name for it is "Proteobacteria bacterium partial 16S ribosomal RNA". It matches the Rfam family "Bacterial small subunit ribosomal RNA", at positions 355 to 776 of the family's 1533-position model. Lineage: Bacteria; Pseudomonadati; Pseudomonadota. The record is from RNAcentral.
UGGGGAAUAUUGGACAAUGGGCGAAAGCCUGAUCCAGCCAUGCCGCGUGUGUGAAGAAGGUCUUCGGAUUGUAAAGCACUUUAAGUUGGGAGGAAGGGCAGUAAGCGAAUACCUUGCUGUUUUGACGUUACCGACAGAAUAAGCACCGGCUAACUCUGUGCCAGCAGCCGCGGUAAUACAGAGGGUGCAAGCGUUAAUCGGAAUUACUGGGCGUAAAGCGCGCGUAGGUGGUUCGUUAAGUUGAAUGUGAAAGCCCCGGGCUCAACCUGGGAACUGCAUCUGAAACUGGCGAGCUAGAGUAGGGCAGAGGGUGGUGGAAUUUCCUGUGUAGCAGUGAAAUGCGUAGAUAUAGGAAGGAACACCGGUGGCGAAGGCGACCACCUGGGCUCAUACUGACACUGAGGUGCGAAAGCGUGGGGAGCAAACAGG